Molecule: long non-coding RNA, 1717 nt
Filed under: Lotus japonicus
Lineage: Eukaryota; Viridiplantae; Streptophyta; Magnoliopsida; Fabales; Fabaceae
Description: long non-coding RNA (LJAP_LNC000011)
Source: RNAcentral
GAGAAGUUAGCAGAGGAGAAGAAAAGAAGCGUGAAAGAGAGAAGGGGAGAAAAGAGAAGAAAAAACCUAGAAUUUGAUCUUCAAGAGGUAAGGGUUUGAAUUUAUCUUGUAUAAUUGUAGAAUAACAGAGGUUGAGUUUACCAUGAAGGAACCCUCAUCUUUUUUGAAAAUUCAGAACUGAGAGACUGUGUUGAGUGUUAACAUGUGGUGAGAAAAAUUGAUUUUGAGCGAAAUUGAGGUUCCGGGGAAAAUUGGGUUCUGUUAUGUUUUGCCCGCAGAUACCCUAACAGUCUGUGUUGUAGAGAGCAUAACACUCUCUACAGAAUUCCAAAUUGAGUGAAACCAAUUUUGUAUGAACGCUAACUCAUAGGGCUAUGUUGGGUAAUAUUUUCAUAAUUUUUCGAUUGCUGGUUCAAUACCAGAAUCAUUUGCAAGUUUAUUCUGUUUCUGCCCGCAGACACCCUAGCAGCCUGUGUUAUAGAGAGCAUAACUCUCUCUACAGAAUUCCGAAUUGAGUGAAACCAAUUUUGUAUGAAAUCUAACUCAUAGGGCUAUAUUGGGUAAUAUUAUCAUAAUUUUUAGAUUGCUGGUUCAAUACCAGAAUUAUCUGCAAGUUCACUCUGUUUCUGCUCGCAGAAACCCUAACAGCCUGUGCUGUAGAGACCAUAACUCUCUCUACAUAAUUCCAAAUUGGGUGAAACCAAUUUUAUAUGAAAGCUAACGUAUAAGGCUAUGUUUGGUAAAAUUUUCAUAAUUUUUGGACUGCUCAUUUAGUACCAGGAUUAUAUGCAAGUUUGCUAUGUUUCUGCUUAUUUCUGAGAUUGAUUCUGAAACUGAUUCUAGUAAUUGAUAUGAGACAUUUGAUGAUUUUGUGUUGCUAUUUUGUCAGUGGAAUAGUGAAUGAUUUGAUAAUUGUAUUGAAGUGUUAUUUUGUGCAAUUUUGGUGUGAUUUCCGUUAUGGAAUUUGGUGAGAAAAUAUGUUAUAUAUUUGGGGCUGGAGUGGUCUCAAAAUUGCAUGUUUUAAUUUAUGAGUUUUUGCACGAAAUACACUUCAUUUAGUCAAGAGGCAACGUGUCGGUUUUCAUCGGAAAACUGAGGUUUGUCCCAGAACUGGCGUGGUUCUGGAAGUCUGGAGUGGACUUCAUUGGUGGUUAACUGUCUGGAGUGGACGCGGUGAUACCGCUAAGGUUAACAAUUGGUACCACAUGCAUACAUUAGAGUCUCACACACUAAGUUUCACGUUUUCAGUGGUUUUAUGUGUUUGGUGAUUUGUUGGUGAAUUGUUUUGCUGUUGUGGUAAAGUCGAAUUAUUAUUCUUCUUUAAGCUUAUAAUUUUUCGAAACAUUAAUAAGAAUUGUGAAACUGUCUUGAGAGAAAAUAUUAUAAUCACUCAGAUUUUAAAGUAAAGGUGAAGAGUUUAUAAAGCAGGAUCUGAAUUGUUUACUUGCUCUUUGUUAUGUUAUAUUUUAUACAAUGUAAGUUCUUACCCUUCUGUUGGAAGGAUGUUCUAUGCGACAUCGCUCAGGUACAGGAGGUAGAGAUGUGGCUCAUGAGGAGUAGCUUCGGAGAGUCUUAGCUUAUGUUAUUAUUAUUAUUAUUAUAAAAUAAGUGUCUUGCUCUGUAAUGUAACACUGGUUAGAUAUUUUACGUUACUUUUACAUUUAUGUUGAGAGGAUUUUAUAAUCUCUUCUUAUGGAAGUUGUUGAAUAAUUUUCUA